This 84-nucleotide transfer RNA is filed under the name Verrucomicrobiaceae bacterium. It matches the Rfam family "tRNA". Rfam says of the family: Transfer RNA (tRNA) molecules are approximately 80 nucleotides in length. Their secondary structure includes four short double-helical elements and three loops (D, anti-codon, and T loops). The record is from Rfam by way of RNAcentral. Lineage: Bacteria; Pseudomonadati; Verrucomicrobiota; Verrucomicrobiia; Verrucomicrobiales; Verrucomicrobiaceae.
GCCGGCGUGGCGGAAUGGUAGACGCGGCGGACUCAAAAUCCGUUGCCCUUUAAAGGCGUGUAGGUUCGAGUCCUAUCGCCGGCA